UCGGGUAUGGUGUAGCGGUAACAUCGUUGACUCUCACUUCUCAGAAGUGAUUGCCUCUCUCUCAACAGCCCCGGGUUCGACUCCCGGUAUCCGAG
Transfer RNA from Podospora anserina, 95 nucleotides. It matches the Rfam family "tRNA". From Rfam's summary of the family: Transfer RNA (tRNA) molecules are approximately 80 nucleotides in length. Their secondary structure includes four short double-helical elements and three loops (D, anti-codon, and T loops). The record is from Rfam. NCBI's taxonomy places the organism in Eukaryota, Fungi, Ascomycota, Sordariomycetes, Sordariales, Podosporaceae.